This 839-nucleotide ribosomal RNA is filed under the name Agaricus hingganensis. Its description in RNAcentral is "partial large subunit ribosomal RNA". It matches the Rfam family "Eukaryotic large subunit ribosomal RNA", at positions 83 to 909 of the family's 3401-position model. The record is from RNAcentral. Lineage: Eukaryota; Fungi; Basidiomycota; Agaricomycetes; Agaricales; Agaricaceae.
GUAACUGCGAGUGAAGCGGGAAAAGCUCAAAUUUAAAAUCUGGCGGUCUCUGGCCGUCCGAGUUGUAAUCUAGAGAAGUAAUGCCCGUGCUGGACCGUGUAUAAGUCUCCUGGGAUGGGGCGUCAUAGAGGGUGAGAAUCCCGUCUUUGACACGGACUACCAGUGCAUUGUGGUAUGCUCUCAAAGAGUCGAGUUGUUUGGGAAUGCAGCUCAAAAUGGGUGGUAAAUUCCAUCUAAAGCUAAAUAUUGGCGAGAGACCGAUAGCGAACAAGUACCGUGAGGGAAAGAUGAAAAGAACUUUGGAAAGAGAGUUAAACAGUACGUGAAAUUGCUGAAAGGGAAACGCUUGAAGUCAGUCGCGUUGGCCGGGGAUCAGCCUUGCUUUUGCAUGGUGUACUUUCUGGUUGACGGGUCAGCAUCAAUUUUGACCGCUGGAAAAAGACCUGGGGAAUGUGGCAGCUUCGGCUGUGUUAUAGCCCCUAGUCGCAUACAGUGGUUGGGAUUGAGGAACUCAGCACGCCGCAAGGCCGGGUUUCGACCACGUUCGUGCUUAGGAUGCUGGCAUAAUGGCUCUAAGCGACCCGUCUUGAAACACGGACCAAGGAGUCUAACAUGCCUGCGAGUAUUUGGGUGGAAAACCCAAGUGCGUAAUGAAAGUGAAAGUUGAGAUCCCUGUCGUGGGGAGCAUCGACGCCCGGACCAGAACUUUUGGGACGGAUCCGCGGUGGAGCAUGUAUGUUGGGACCCGAAAGAUGGUGAACUAUGCCUGAAUAGGGUGAAGCCAGAGGAAACUCUGGUGGAGGCUCGUAGCGAUUCUGACGUGCAAAUCGAUCGUCAAA